Molecule: long non-coding RNA, 1222 nt
Organism: Coffea arabica (coffee)
Lineage: Eukaryota; Viridiplantae; Streptophyta; Magnoliopsida; Gentianales; Rubiaceae
Source: RefSeq, a predicted model, not a curated record
GAUUCAGCUCCUUUUGAUCAUGGCUCGGAUCCCACAUCCUACAUUCCAUUUCACCGAUAAUCCUAGUAGUAUAAAGGAGAUGGCUGUUGCACAUUUGCUGCUUAGCUUCACUGUUAUUGCUGUAGUUCUGUUGAUUGAAGCUGCAGUCACCUGCUUUGCGACUGAAACUGUUCUGUCCUUGGUCAGUGUUGCAAGUACUUCCUUUUGUUGACAAAUUCCUCUGUUUUUUUUGGUCUUCUUUUGCGAACUAAAACAAUACAAAGCGAAAGGAACCUGCAAGCAGCAAAAAUCCACCAAAGCAUGCAAAACUAGGGUUUUCAAGUUUGGAGCCGGAUUGUCUGUCACCCAGUUGACGGCCCAAAUCUAUCGCAAGAUAUCUGUUUGAUUUGAGCCAUCCAUUUAAAAUUUGCAAGGAACGACUCAAUUUAUUUUUUUGGAUACCAGUGUUCUGAUUUGAUAAUGUGAUAUUCAUAUUUUCAAGUAUCUCCAGCGGAUAGCUUAGUUGAAGAACAUUUCAUAAAAAAUUGUCAUCAAAAGGACAAAAGAAAAUCAUGUUGUCAAAUGAGCUUGUCCUCAGACAUAAUUUCAUUGUAUUGUUGCAGAAUUGGUGAUCUUAACUGUUUCAACGAAGGGCUUUGAUUCUCCAGAAGCACGAUGCUUGAGAUAAUCUCUUAAGCAGCAGCCCCUAUAUUGUUCAGGAUGGUCUUCGUUCACAAGUUUCAUAGCAGGCUCAAGGAUCUCAUCCAUUUCCAAACUCUGGAAACUGGCUAUAGAAAGUCUAGUGUCAUUCCCAGAAGUUCGGAUUGCUCGAUGCAAGACGGCUUUGUAUUCACCAUUGCUCAAUACCUCCAAAAGAUCUCCAACAAGGACUAGUAAAGCCCCUUUAAUCACAGGAACAGAUUUCCACUUCUUAUCAUUUUUGUCCAUGACUUGAAGACCUAAAGAACUCUGCAGAAGAAGAGUGAUGACGCUAAAAUCUGAAUGUUGGGAUGCACCUAUUAUCUUCAUGUUUGAUCCAGAAAUUGAUGAAUAGCUAUUUAUCGCAACCAUUUGGACGCCUUUUUCAAUUUCUGCUUUCAAAUAUGUUGCCUCCAAAUCCAAGCUUUCCAUGAUAGCUCCGCAUAUCUGAAUUGAUAAUUUCCUCAUCUCCAUUGUGCAGUUUCCCAUUAUUUCCCUGUUAUAGAAGUACAACUAUGACAUCAAUAAUUAUUUUUAGAUGAAA